GAUGAACGCUGGCGGCGUGCCUAAUAUAUGCAAGUCGAGCGAACAGACGAGGAGCUUGCUCCUCUGACGUUAGCGGCGGACGGGUGAGUAACACGUGGAUAACCUACCUAUAAGACUGGGAUAACUUCGGGAAACCGGAGCUAAUACCGGAUAACAUGUUGAACCGCAUGGUUCAACAGUGAAAGACGGUCUUGCUGUCACUUAUAGAUGGAUCCGCGCCGCAUUAGCUAGUUGGUAAGGUAACGGCUUACCAAGGCAACGAUGCGUAGCCGACCUGAGAGGGUGAUCGGCCACACUGGAACUGAGACACGGUCCAGACUCCUACGGGAGGCAGCAGUAGGGAAUCUUCCGCAAUGGGCGAAAGCCUGACGGAGCAACGCCGCGUGAGUGAUGAAGGUCUUCGGAUCGUAAAACUCUGUUAUUAGGGAAGAACAAAUGUGUAAGUAACUAUGCACGUCUUGACGGUACCUAAUCAGAAAGCCACGGCUAACUACGUG
This 497-nucleotide ribosomal RNA is filed under the name uncultured bacterium. RNAcentral's name for it is "partial 16S ribosomal RNA". It matches the Rfam family "Bacterial small subunit ribosomal RNA", at positions 28 to 507 of the family's 1533-position model. The record is from RNAcentral.